RNAcentral lists this ribosomal RNA (253 nucleotides) under uncultured bacterium. RNAcentral's name for it is "partial 16S ribosomal RNA". It matches the Rfam family "Bacterial small subunit ribosomal RNA", at positions 524 to 776 of the family's 1533-position model. The record is from RNAcentral.
UACGUAGGGUGCAAGCGUUGUCCGGAUUUAUUGGGCGUAAAGAGCUCGUAGGCGGUCUGUCGCGUCGGAUGUGAAAACCCAGGGCUCAACCCUGGGCCUGCAUUCGAUACGGGCAGACUAGAGUGUGGCAGGGGAGACUGGAAUUCCUGGUGUAGCGGUGAAAUGCGCAGAUAUCGGGAGGAACACCGGUGGCGAAGGCGGUUCUCUGGGCCUUACCUGACGCUGAGGAGCGAAAGCGUGGGGAGCGAACAGG